RNAcentral lists this ribosomal RNA (485 nucleotides) under uncultured bacterium. RNAcentral describes it as "bacterial SSU rRNA". It matches the Rfam family "Bacterial small subunit ribosomal RNA", at positions 28 to 517 of the family's 1533-position model. The record is from RNAcentral.
GAUGAACGCUAGCUACAGGCUUAACACAUGCAAGUCGAGGGGAAACGAUAGAGAAAGCUUGCUUUUUCUAGGCGUCGACCGGCGCACGGGUGAGUAACGCGUAUCCAACCUGCCCACCACUUGGGGAUAACCUUGCGAAAGUAAGACUAAUACCCAAUGACGUCUCUAGAAGACAUCUGAAAGAGAUUAAAGAUUUAUCGGUGAUGGAUGGGGAUGCGUCUGAUUAGCCAGUUGGCAGGGUAACGGCCUACCAAAGCGACGAUCAGUAGCCGGACUGAGAGGUUGAACGGCCACAUUGGGACUGAGAUACGGCCCAGACUCCUACGGGAGGCAGCAGUGGGGAAUAUUGGGCAAUGGGCGCAAGCCUGACCCAGCAACGCCGCGUGAAGGAAGAAGGCUUUCGGGUUGUAAACUUCUUUUGUCAGGGACGAGUAGAAGACGGUACCUGACGAAUAAGCCAACGGCUAACUACGUGCCAGCAGCCG